This 254-nucleotide ribosomal RNA is filed under the name uncultured bacterium. RNAcentral's name for it is "partial 16S ribosomal RNA". It matches the Rfam family "Bacterial small subunit ribosomal RNA", at positions 524 to 776 of the family's 1533-position model. The record is from RNAcentral.
CACGUAGGGUGCGAGCGUUGUCCGGAAUUAUUGGGCGUAAAGAGCUCGUAGGCGGUGUGUCGCGUCGGCCGUGAAAACCUGCAGCUUAACUGUGGGCUUGCGGUCGAUACGGGCAUCACUGGAGUUCGGCAGGGGAGACUGGAAUUCCUGGUGUAGCGGUGAAAUGCGCAGAUAUCAGGAGGAACACCGGUGGCGAAGGCGGGUCGCUGGGCCGAUACUGACGCUGAGGAGCGAAAGCGUGGGGAGCGAACAGG